This 1804-nucleotide long non-coding RNA is filed under the name Hordeum vulgare. RNAcentral's name for it is "long non-coding RNA (HVUL_LNC000220)". Lineage: Eukaryota; Viridiplantae; Streptophyta; Magnoliopsida; Poales; Poaceae. The record is from RNAcentral.
CUGGUUGUUAAGCGGUUGCCAACACCGAUGUCUCUUGAAUUAGGAUUUUGCCCCGCUUUAUGAAUAAAGCCAACAUCACGUCCAUACAAUGAGUUCUAGUGUCGAAAUAUCAUAGUCUACCUGGAAAACAUCACACAAUCACGCCCAAAAAAAGCAUAAAAGAAAUAAGAAAAAAGACCAAGUGGCCACACACUUAUGAAGCCUGCUGCAAUGGGAGCCGCCAAGCGGUCGCAUCCAUCAUAAGCCCUAGAUGCUCGCUGCCACGCUGCCUAGACACCAGAUGCCAGUGCUGUAAGAAGACAAGAAAUUUAAAAAAAGAGUGAGGGGCCCUUCUAAGAAAGACGCAUCUUAUUAUGUGUCUACAUAGCGUCCAAGCAAAUGCCGCAAACACUAGCCAGAAGAUGUGUCUCCUCCUACUGGUCUGGACAACUCUAGCCUGAAGGAACCGAGAUAGAUCUGGGCCCUCCCAAUCAGGCCCAAGCUAGGACCCCACAGAUGAAACUCCAUAGCGUCCAAGCCAGGGCCGAUGUCCACCUAUUUUUUUCUCUUUGUUCUAACCUUUCCGUAACGUUUUGAUGAACAGAUAUUCACUGAAAUUAAGGGAGGAGUUCUUAACCAUUUGUUAAAACAUCUAGCCACGUUUGUGACUUGCUCCUGUUGAGAGGAAUUAGUAAGUACAUACACAUUGAUAUCUAUUAUGCAACAGUUAAUAAAGUUUAUACUGCUCUAAAGUUUAAUGUAGAUCGUUGUAACCUUUUGAUGAACAUAUACACAUUAAUAAAAAGGUUUAAAAGGAGUAAAAGCAGGUGCGUUGCGCAAUAACUGAAUUUUUUCGCAGAUCGGUUGGUACAAUAUCUGAAUUUUCGUAGGCAGGUUGCAGCAGAAAGAUGAGCACUGAUCCAAGGGUUUUAUGUCUUGAAAGAAAGACAUAUCAAGAGGAAUAUGCUUGCAAGGAGGAGAAGGAAAUACAACAACAACAAAAGGCAGAGUUUAUGUCUUACUCGCAACCAGAUUCCAGGAAACCAAGAUCACACAUAAUGAAGUCUUUUGUACCUUUAUUAUUCAGAUCCUCGUACAGUAAAAACACCUGCUCAAUGGGCGUCUACUGAGCGGAACUUCCUACCGAUGAAACUCCAGUCCCGAUCCCGAGCCGCAUCCCUGCGGUGGUAGCAUCCUCUGCACGUUCCGCUUCUUUCGGAUGGCACGAUAGACGGAGGCCAUCUGCACGCAGGAAGUCUCCAGUUCACGCCCAAGGCAUGGGGCGCUUGCACCGCCAAGUCCUCCUCACCAACUUCCUCGACGGCGGCGGCUGUAGGAGCAUUGUAGGCAGCACCCAACCACUCCUUGCAUCAUCGAGAUCGCCUCCCCUCCCCCUGUACAACAGAGCCAAGAUGGGAACUUGUUUCAAAAGAACAGACGCAAGAGCAACGUGGCAAAGACACUCAACAGAGCCAAGAUGAGCAGACCAAGACGGUGAAACAACGUACCUGCAGAGUCUGCGCCGGCGCUGCAUGAGCGAGGUGCCAGCGUUGCAUGAGAGAGAUGGCACAUGACACGAGUGCUGCCACUAACCGGCGAUGUGCGAAGGCCAUCGAGAUGGGAGCCAGUGAAGCUGGGAGAAGACAACACUGUAUCGCAUUUCUCAUGUAUGACUACAUCGCCACCACACAACUUGAAAUUUACCAUAUAUUUCGGUGCCGGCAGGUUCUAGACCAUUUUUUCAGCUUUCUUCUAAUAUCUCAUCUAAAUUAUGUGGGUGAAUCCUUUCAACUGUGUAGUACUACUCAUCUCAUCAUGAGUGCAG